Apis dorsata (giant honeybee) is the source of this 632-nucleotide long non-coding RNA. RefSeq lists it as uncharacterized. Lineage: Eukaryota; Metazoa; Arthropoda; Insecta; Hymenoptera; Apidae. The record is from RefSeq and is a predicted model, not a curated record. The transcript is spliced from 3 exons.
CUUCUAUUUGGCGCGUAAUUUUAGUAGAAGGGGAAAUGUCGUUUCAGCCAAUUAGAAAGUCCUUAGGCAAUCCUGUAAUGCGUAGCAUUAUAGUUCUGUCGAAAAUCUUUGUAGUGUGACGUGUGCUGGCUUGUAUAAUAUUAACUACGCAAUUACUAUUGGUUAAUUGCAGGAUGCAGAAUGUAAAACACCAUGAUACGCCAUAUUGAUUACGUAACAGUCAACGUAUUUUUCAAAAAGAUUCGAGCAUUAUUUUUUAUUAUGACCAAGUGCAAUGUGGUCAAUAGAAUCGGUGUUUGUUGCGCAAUAGUAUUUUCAAUAUAUUUCAGUGCAUAAAAUCCCUUAUUUAAUUUAAUUAUAAUAAUCAUUCGCGAAAUUAGAGUCAGUGUUUGUUCCUCUAUAAUAAUUUCAGUAAUUUUAAUAAUUUCAUGUCAAUAAUUUUUUAUUUAUUUAUUUAUUUUUUUUAAUAUUCAUUUUUAUAUAUUAGAGUCAGUGUAUCAAGAAAAAGCAGUCAUCUGUCAUCGUAAGGUAAGUCUUUUAUUUAUUUUUCUAUAAUUUAUUUUAUUCUUUUAUUAUUUUAUUCUUUCUAUUGUUUGUAUUUUUCUUUUUCCUCAAUAUUAUGGAUUUUGUAG